UGUUGGACCUUUGGGACGUCGCUCUCCAUCCCCACUAAACCUCUCCUGCUUUUAUUGUACCGAGUUUUAGAGGUAUACAUGGAUUUUUUUGGUUGUGUCAAGCUAUAACAAGGAUAGUGAUAAGACAGACUAAAACAUCACCUCGUAUACUGAGUGACUUGGAUUCCAAUGGAGGAAGAGAGAAGAAAGAUCUCAUCUUUGGGGUCCUUUCCAAUUCUGUAACGAAGCUCUCAAGAGUUUCCUAAAGUGUCUUGGUCUUUAUACCUCUCCUUCCAAUUCUUCGGCAUCUUCGGUUCAGGAGGAUGCCGUGACGACAAGGGGAAUUUUAGUCGGAUCAAAGAAAAGGCCGAGAGAGCCACAUAGCUCUGGAAAGCCAGGCGGCCACAACUAAAUUAGGAACACUUGAUUUGUUGUUUUGCUAUCUAUCAGCCAUAAAAGCCACGCGGAAAAAACAGAUUACUAGUUGCAUGCAAUGUUUCACGUUUAUCAUACACAUCGUUUUAUGUGUAUUUUUGGCUAAUAUCAUGAAGUUCCAUUAAGUCUUAAAAUUAUUCAAAGCAUAAAGGCUUUUGUUUUUCAGACGUUUGUGUGGAUGGACGAUCGUGGACGGUGGCCAAAUGGUACGGAAAAUAAUGUAUCUCUGGUUAAUAUUAAAAUAUGGUUUAAUAUAAAAAUAUAUAUCCUUUUGUUCCAUUAUAUUGAGAUUUUUGGUAAAAUCUUGAAACUUAAGAAAACAGAUAAAAUUAUAUAUUUUAUUUUAACAUGAAAACACAUUUAGUGUUGUUAUAUAAAAAAAUAGUCGAACAAUCAUAAAUUAGUGUAAAAUAUAAACAAAUUCGAUAGAAUAAAGAAAAAUGGAAAUAUACUUAGAAACAAUAAAGUAAAAUCGUUAGAACAGGCUAUCUAUAAAAUCUGAUGUGUCGAUUUGUAGACAAGAUAUUAAUUUUAAAUUUGAUCAGAAUAUAUUCCAAGCUCACAACUUAAUUAAUUAAGGAUUUUUUGUUUUACCAGCAAACUGAUGUAAAAGUCCGUGCAAUGCUUCCGUUGUACUAGCUUUUACUAAUUUUAUUGAGAACAGAAAGUCGAUCAAAGAAAACCAGUCACGUAUUCAGAUAAACACGAAAAUCAGAUGAUUCCUUUUUUUUUUAUUCACUGGUCCAAUGUCCGUUGACCUAUCACUAGGGAGAGAGGGACACAAAGUUCCAGGUAAAGCAUAUAUCACCAGAUUCACCGCCAGUAAUUUCAACAGAAUAAGAUACUGUAUACUUCUAUUACUUCACGUAUUCUUUUUUUUUUUUUUUUUACUUCACGUAUUCUGAUCGACUACGAUAUAUGAAAUCAACGAAUAUACUUUUUGAUAGUUCCUAGCAUCGCUAAUCUGAACAAACGAAUACGUGUCAAAUCUUAAAUAAAUACAACUAAUUGCAAACGGGAAACAUGCAAUAAUAUUUUCAUAAAAAAAUCAUGCAAUGAUAGGAAUAUAUGCGACCGAUGAGCUGUUACAUUUAAAUAAAUUGUAUAAAUAUAUUUUUAUAGUAAUUAGCGUAAACGCUCAAAGUUGACCAAGAUCAAUGAUGAGUGAUUUGAACUCUAUAUUAGUGAUCCGAUUAGUCUCUUCUAAGCACACAAUUAGAAGAAAGAAAGAAGAGAUGGAGAGCAAAGGAAGAACAGAAAGUGGAGUUUUUUCUUACGUCUACAUCCCUUUUAGUUUCAUCCACGAGAUUCUACAAUCUCUGUUCGUUAAGUUUCUCGGUGUAAGAUCACCUCCUAGUAAUUUUCCGAUAUCAGAAGAAGAGGAAGUGACGGAGGUUGUGGAAGUGACGUCCAGGAAAUCGCAGCUGGAAUAUAGUUCCGGCAAGCCUGGAGGUACUAACAUGUCGCGUGGCUAAUGUUCUAUUGCGGCGUGUCACCCAUGUGAAACAAAGUCAAAGUCAAGUUAAUAAUGUACGGAGAAAAUCUCGUACUUUUAUGUUUCAUUAUUGUAUAUUUGUUUAUAAAUUUUUUGUUGUGUUGUGUGUAUUAUAUAUGAUUCUUGGAUGUUCGUAACUUUGUAAGGUUGUUUGAGUAUUUGAUUGUAAGAAAACAAAAAUAAACAAAAACGCAAGUGUAUAAUAAGGAUGAUGCUUAUGGCGAUAAGCAAAGCAAGUUCUAGGCACAACCUAUGAAAAGAUUCACUUUGUUUACUAAAAUUUAAAAAACUACUAUACAUUGCAAGUCUUCAAACUUUGUCAUGAUGAAGAAUUUGAUGAUCUUGAUUACAUGAUACUCCAAAAGAAACUUUGCUUUGCGUCUCAAUAAUCAUAGUCUCCAUAGUUUCAUAUUAAUCAAACUAUAGACUAUUCUUAAGCUAUGAUAUGAAAUGAAAUGUGAUUGUUCAACCUGUUAAACUAUAAUCUAAUCUCUCCUUGAUACAUUUACAUAAGUUAGUUAUUUAUGUUAUUACACAAAGAGUUGUAACUCUUCAAGUUGUGUCCUUUAGUAUAAAGAGUUGUGUCUCUUAUACUUGUAUUGAUUCGAUCUCUAUAUAAAGAUCAAUCAUCUGUUGUAAACAAAUCACCGAAUCUAAAUAAUACAAAAGUAUUUUCAGAAAAGUUUAUAAGCCUGAAACGUCUAUCAAAGGAACAUCAAACUUUGGAGUGUACUUCACAAGCGUGAAAGAACCAAGACUUCUAGGCUACACGGACAGCGAUUGGGGUGGUUCUAAGGAAGACAAGAAAAGCACUUCAGGUUAUGUGUUUACUCUUGGAUCAGCCAUGUUUUGUUGGCAGUCAAGCAAGCAACAAACAGUGGCGCAAUCUACGGCUGAGGCAGAGUACAUAGCCGUGUGUGCAGCAGCAAAUCAAGCAGUGUGGUUACAAAGACUAUUUGAAGAUUUUGGUCAGAAGUUUGAAGGAGGCAUUCCAAUCUUAUGUGACAACAAAUCAGCAAUAGCAAUUGGGAAGAAUCCAGUGCAACACAGAAGGACGAAGCACAUAGAGAUCAAGUACCAUUUCGUGAGGGAAGCUGAGCAAAAGGGAAUCAUUGAACUGAAGUAUUGCAAAGGGGAUGAUCAACUCGCAGACAUUCUCACAAAGGCAUUGGGUGGUUCAAGAUUUGAAGAUCUAAGGAAGCAGCUUGGAGUCAAGUCGAGAUAUGAUUAAGGAGGAGUGUUAAACUAUAAUCUAAUCUCUCCUUGAUACAUUUACAUAAGUUAGUUAUUUAUGUUAUUACACAAAGAGUUGUAACUCUUCAAGUUGUGUCCUUUAGUAUAAAGAGUUGUGUCUCUUAUACUUGUAUUGAUUCGAUCUCUAUAUAAAGAUCAAUCAUCUGUUGUAAACAAAUCACCGAAUCUAAAUAAUACAAAAGUAUUUUCAGAAAAGUUUAUAAGCCUGAAACGUCUAUCUUAUUCUUUCUCUCGAACUCGUGUGUAACACAUUGUGAUCGUUGUGUAACACAAGCGGUUGGUAAAAGAUUAACACAACCCUCUACUUCCUUAGCUCGCUUUGCAAAAGAUCUUGAUGCCAUUUUGGAGAAGCGAGUGAUAGUGAAGAACAAUUGCAACAAAGAACGUCCCUUAACGAUCCCUUCCUUUAAGCUCCUCGCUGUUUUAGCUACCACUGGUUCUGCUCCACUCGUCUUGGUUUGAUGCAUCACCUCCUGCAUCAAAGCUACUAAUAAAGUAGAAAACAGAGUUAACCAUGAAGUCCGUCCACCCCUCGAAAACAGAGUUUAAAACAAUGUUUGUUAACCUCCUUAGUCUAUCUUCAGCCACACGAAUAGCCCGUGUUGAGCUUCUAACACCUUGAGUGAUACCUUGGCUACACAAUAUUGAAGAGUUUAAA
Long non-coding RNA from Brassica napus (rape), 3821 nucleotides. RefSeq lists it as uncharacterized. The record is from RefSeq and is a predicted model, not a curated record. The transcript is spliced from 3 exons. NCBI's taxonomy places the organism in Eukaryota, Viridiplantae, Streptophyta, Magnoliopsida, Brassicales, Brassicaceae.